CUUGAAUCUGGGCUUGGCCACCGGGACAUUAGCAAACGUGAUGCAAGCAGGGGCUUGAAAAGCACUUGCACAAAAGGAAUUACCCCUUUUUGACAGCGGCUGUAACCCUGAGACCGGUGAUGUGAGCAAGCCUGGGCUGGCCUAAUAGAGAGGCCUUAUGCAGCAGGGCUGAGCCCAGGCAGCAGCCUGCCUAUGUCCAACCAGCCAAUUGCCAGACACGUGAGUGAGGUCAUCUUAGGCCAUCCAGCCCCAUUUAAGACCCUAGAGGACUACAGACACAUGAAUGACUCCAGGGAAGACCAGCAGCAGAACCACUCCGGUGACCUCAGCCCAAAUCGCUGAUCCAGAUUCAUGAGCAAGCCGUUAAGUCUGGCCAUGGUCCUGCAGAGAGAGAAGACCACGAGAAGCAAAAAGCAGCAAGAUGACUGGAAAGAUUCAGGAAUUGGGAGCAGUGAAUAACUCAAAGUGCAGUGGAGGUUGGUGCUGAACAUCAGCAUUAGCUGACAAUUUGUAAAAGAAGCAGUUCCUGGCCAGGUGCCAUGGCUCACGCCUAUAAUCUCAGCACUUUGGGAGACCAAGGAGGGUGUAUCACGAGGUCAAGAGAUCGAGACCAUCCUGGCUAACACAGUGAAACCCUGUCUCUACGAAAAAGAACACAAAAAAUUAGCCAGGUGUGGUGGCACGGGCCUGUAGUCCCAGCUAUUCGGGAGGCUGAGGCAGGAGAAUCACUUUAACCUGAGAGGCGGAGGUUGCAGUGAGCCGAGAUCGAGUCACUGCACUCCAGCCUGGGUGACAGGGCUAGAGUCCGUCUCAUAAAUAAAAUGAAAUAAUAAAAAACAGAUGUUCAAACUCACUGGUAAUCAAUGAAAUGCAAGUUAAAACAAUGAGAUACCAUUUUAUACCUCGCAGAGGGACAAAAAUUAGAGUUAGAAAAUAGCAGGGUGAAAAUUGGAGAAAUGAUCAUCCUUUUGUCUCAUUAUGGGAGUGCAAACUGGUGCAGAUAUUUAAGAAACAAAUGUGGCUGAAUUGGGGAAGUCAAGGAUAUAAGACCCAGCAACCAGCAAUCUCAGCCUGGGUUGGGAGGUGAAUUCUGUACAUCUGAGAGUUCGCCCAUCCACAAGGGGUCGUGUACAAGGAUGUUCACUGCAGAUUUGUUGUAAAAAUGAGGAGGUGGUGUCCAUCACUAAUGGAAUAUUUGGGUGCAUCUCAUGUGCUGCUGCUCAGCGGUAGGACCCAGGAGCGAGGUGGACAGGCAGCGGCCGGAGGAGGUCAGAAAAACAGUGCUGGGGC
Molecule: long non-coding RNA, 1290 nt
Filed under: Homo sapiens (human)
Lineage: Eukaryota; Metazoa; Chordata; Mammalia; Primates; Hominidae
Description: HSALNT0236076
Source: RNAcentral